GAAAUGAAAUGUGUGCAAUAUAAAUUAACAGUACAGUUAAUUAAAGCCGACCAAUUAAAAAAAAAAAAAACAUUUAAAUAAAUGUACAUGAAAUAAAAAUAAGGCAGAAAUGAGGUAAGGGGAAAUGUGCAAAACUGAGCAGAUUGUAAAAAUGAAAAGAUGAAAUGAAAUGUGUGCAAUAUAAAUUAACAGUACAGUUAAUUAAAGCCGACCAAUUAAAAAAAAAAAAAAAACAUAUUUAAAUAAAUGUACAUGAAAUAAAAAUAAGGCAGAAAUGACUUAAGGGAAAUGUGCAAAACUGAGAAGGUUGUAAAAAAAUUAAAUGAAAUCUGUAAUAUAAAUCAACAGUACAGUACAAGUGAAAUCCUGACAAGCGAGUUAGGUUUUAAAGCAGCCAGAGUAUCCCUGUUUUUUUGUUUUGUUUUUUAGAUCUUUUUUUUUCAGAAUUUUUUUUUCAGGCUAGAUGAAUGAGGUAGGAUGGAGUGGGAGGUGAAGGAAGGUGUUCUUACAGGUGUCUAGUCUCAGGCACGUUGAUGUUGACGUCCUGGAUAGUCUCCUUUUUCUUCUCUUCUCUCUCCUAUGUCUUUGUCUCCUUGUCCUGGAGCUUGUGCCUCAUUUCGUCCAUCUCCGUCUGCCGGUCCUUUUUUUUUUUUUUUUCAGAAUAUUUUUUUCAGGGUAGAUGGAUGAGGUAGGAUGGAGUGGGAGGUGAAGGAAGGUGUUCUUACAGGUGUCUAGUCUCAGGCACGUUGAUGUUGACGUCCUGGAUAGUCUCCUUUUUCUUCUCUUCUCUCUCCUAUGUCUUUGUCUCCUUGUCCUGGAGCUUGUGCCUCAUUUCGUCCAUCUCCGUCUGCCGGUCUUUUUUUUUUUUUUUUCAGAAUUUCUUUUUUUUCAGGGUAGAUGGAUGAGGUAGGAUGGAGUGGGAGGUGAAGGAAGGUGUUCUUACAGGUGUCUAGUCUCAGGCACGUUGAUGUUGACGUCCUGGAUUAUCUCCUUUUUCUUCUCUCUCCUAUUUCUUUGUCUCCUUGUCCUGCAUCUUGCGCCUCAUUUCGUCCAUCUCUGUCUGCCGGUCUUUUUUUUUUUUUUUUUUUAAGUACAGGCAGAUGUUUUCAAGGACUGUUUUGUUGUCCUCUAAUUCUGGGAUCCUGGUGAUACGGAUCUAAUGUUCUUUGGGGAUGGUAUCCUCUGUUUGUUGGAUCUUAGAGAUCAGGCACAAUACAGUGAACCCACUGCUUGUGACCAUCUCUUGGUGGAUAUCCUCUUGGCUCUUUUUCAAAUUCAAAGAUUUUAUUGUCAAAUAUACCCCCCUUGUGUAUUGAAAUUCUUAUGCUUGCCUUUUCUGGACAGCCGACCAAUUUUAAAAUAAAAAAAAUAAAAAUAAAUGAUUUACAUAAAUGUACAUGAAAUAAAAAUGAGGCAAAAAUGAGGUAAGGGGAAAUGUGCAAAACUGAGCAAGUUGUAAAAAAAAAAUGAAAAUGAAAUGAGUGCAAUAUAAAUUAACAGUACAGUUAAUUAAAGCCCCCCAAUAAAAAUAAAAAAAAUAUAUAUAUAUGUUUAAAUAAAUGUACAUGAAAUAAAAAUAAGGCAGAAAAGAGGUAAGUGAAAAUGUGCAAAACUGAGCAGGUUGUAAAAAAAAAUGAAAUGAAAUGGGUGAAAUAUAAAUUAACAGUACAGUUAAUUAAAGCCGACCAAUUAAAAAAAAAAU
Gasterosteus aculeatus aculeatus (three-spined stickleback) is the source of this 1702-nucleotide long non-coding RNA. NCBI's taxonomy places the organism in Eukaryota, Metazoa, Chordata, Actinopteri, Perciformes, Gasterosteidae. The record is from Ensembl.